This is a long non-coding RNA of Caretta caretta (loggerhead turtle), 5720 nucleotides long. RefSeq lists it as uncharacterized. Lineage: Eukaryota; Metazoa; Chordata; Testudines; Cheloniidae. The record is from RefSeq and is a predicted model, not a curated record.
AACACACACACACAUAUAUAUAUACACACACACAUACAUACAGGCACACACGCACGGAUGGGAGAGCAAAGAGAAAGCGAGAUCCGAGGAGUCCAGCUGCCCCCCUGACGCCGUUUUGAUUGGAUGGUCUUUUCAUGUAGAGGGGACGUCUCAAGUCGAAGUCACGAUUUCUGCUCAGUUUGGAACCAUCUGUGACUGGAGCCAUGACGCAGCCAGCGCACAUUACUCACUUUUACAGUCACGACUUGGAAAUCCGUGCAGUUUCCAACCAAAAUUACACCGCCACCAUUGAAUUAUUUAAUAGGAUCCAGUUAAGGGAUCCGCAACUGUCGCUGGGCUUGGAGUGCCAGACAAUAACAUGGCCAACUACUGCUAGUGAUACAGCAACAUUGGGAAAAAUCACAGCUAUUACAGAUCACAUCAUAGGCGUCGCCAGGCGCAGGGAGAGAUUUGGCUUUUUAAAAGAGCCGACGAGCCCUCUUUGUUAUUAGGCAGCUGCCAGAAAGCACGAUCAGAGGCGUUGCCAUCAGCACGUCCCCGCACGCCCCAACCCAGGACUUGCCUCUCUCGGCUAUAGAGAGCUGCUACAUUACAACCCUCGCACAGAACUCCAGCCCUGGCCAUUAUUUUUAGCAAGUGCGCAUGGAGGCAUGACCUUUGCUGCAGGACUGAGUCUUGCAGGCAGGAGGACACUGGUACUUGGACUGAAGACAGCUCCUGUCACAUGAGGGCCUCAGAUGGGGACACCCAUGCAGCUGUAAAACAUGCCAUCUUCAAGGAGUUUCAAGGAAGAGCAGCUUGGAUGAACAGACAUGGUAGGCUAAGCAUGUGUUUCAGGAAGCACAGGCAUCCACCGGAGCCUUGCCUGGCUCCCGGAUGCCAGAGGGGAGUUUGCCAGCGUCUAACAUGAAUGGGGUGGUGAUUACAUGCGCCCCAGUCUCCCUCCCGACUUUGUAUGCUUAAAGUUCCUCCUCCUAGUCCUGUGAGGAUGGAGGAGAAUGCAAUGGAAGGGCUCAUUGUCUUGAGCUUGUUUCCGGUGGUAUGAGAAGACACAGGCGCAGCUGUGAAGCUAGGAUUAACCUGGUGAUAAAGUAUGAAUAGUGAACCAUUCCCUUGCUGGAUCGCAAACCCUCCAUAACAGUAGAGGGGCCUCCUUCAGUCUCUACCUCUUCCCCUUCUUCUGACUGAUUUUUUUUAAAACUAACCCAUUGCAUUCCAAGAACUAACUUGUUGCUCUUCCACAGGAUAUGAAACAUCUUCUGAAUAAACCAGGAGGGCGCUCGCCUUUUCCAACAAGAACCAAACCUCUCCCACAAGAACAAUCCCUGUUAGCAGGAGUGAGUAAUUUCCACCUCAGCAGGACAGCUGUUUCUCUACCUUCUCUAGCUGCUGCUAGAACCCAACUCAAGGCUGGGCUAAAAUGAAAUACAAUGCCCAGGGAAUCACUCGUUUUAAAUAAAUCAAACAACAACAACGGAACCAAUCCAAAGGAAAGGCAAGAAUCUUUAGCAGGUGAUGCUGUACCUUGCAAACAACAGUUCCCACUUCUUCUGAUAAAUGUUAAAUGGAGAAUUUAUCUUCCAUCUUCAUAUUUUAUAGUCAUCAGCAAUCUCUUGGUUCCCAGAGAAUUAGGCCUCCCUAACAACUGAGGCAUAAUUAAAUCAAUGGAUUCUGUAUUCUUCUCUCGAACUGGAAGGGAAACUUCACUGUUACCAGAAGGAACAGUGCGUAUAGAUACAUUGCACUCUGCAUAGAACAGGUGCUGAACUAUGGCAUGGUGUUCUUUGAUGAGUACUACCUGUGAUGCAGACCAUUCUGACUCUUGAAACCUUCCAGGGCUCUCUGCGCUCCAAAGACAGUGGCAUCGGUACAACAAACAUCAGUUAUCAACACAUACAGUUUACAGUUCAAAAGACACCUUUGGCCUGCUAAACACAAACUAAUUCAGUUACCCUGAGCAGGGGGCAGACUAGCACGUGCAGCCUGCCUUUGAGACAUUCAUGAGUAGGGGCAUUCUUUUUGAAAGGGAUGGAGAAAUCCCAUCUUUCCUUUUGAUCCUUCAACCUCAAGGCCACAUCAUGAAAUAAGGAUCCUUCUGGUUGGGUGGUAGUCUUCAGCUGAGCCGGUCUUAUCAAGACCAGAAUCAGUUAGAGGAACUACUGCAGAAUGAUGGGGAAAGUGCCCUCAUGUUCUCCUUUCAUCUCACUCCUUGCUAGUUUGAGUGCUACUUUCUCAAUGCCCCCAGCCCUGCCAGGGAUCACAUCCCAGUCAUGAAUAUAAUUUACAGAAUUCUCCUAAACCAUGGUGACACCCACCAGUAUUUUGAUUUCAUUCUCCAGUUGACAAACAGCGGAUUGACUCUUGCUACUUUACAAACAUAAAGGGAGUACAGAGUGACCAGAAGUAAAGAGGGUAGCACCAUGAUGAUAAGGUCUAGGACUUUCUUUGUUUACCUGGGAUCAGAUUAUCCAGAGCACACCAUGCAGUGGUCCCCAUUAAGAACGGAGCUGUUUCUAUGUAAUUAAUCACUGAUACACAUUUCUUUAAAAAUAAAGAACAAUAAAACAAAACACUAGUUAUCUCUGAUGAGACAAUAUAGGAAUCAGAAAAUCCAGAGGAUAGAGCAAUAGAAUUCAAACGGAUUUGGAUAAAUUAGGGGUACACAUGAAGUAGUGGGCUAGGAGCUGUUCAGUGUGGCAAAGUUUAAAGUUAAUGAAAGGCCCUAAUGGAGAAAUGAUGUUAACUGGUGGUUAGAGCAGGGGACUGGGAGUCUUGAUUCCUGGGUUCUAGUCCCAGAUUUGCUGCAGGACCAAGGCUGGUCUGAAAUUUUUCAUCUAAAUUAUAAUGUUUUUCCACGAACAUUUUCAAUGUUCCCCCAGCUCUGUGUGUCACCCUGAGCAAGGCACUUUUCCUCUCCGUUCCUCUGUUUAUCCAACUAUAAAAUGGGUCUGACACUUACCUACCUUACCAGGCUGUUCAGUAGGCAUUUUAAAACAUUGAGACUGUGUAUUAAAGGCAUUAUAUAAAGGACAAAGCAAUAUUAUAAAUAAUCAGAAAGACCAUAAUUUAAGAAGCAUAUAAAUUACAUUCCCUCCAACAAUGAGGUGUGUGUGUUACAUUAAAAUUCAUGUGCCAGAAGGACAAACGCUGCUAGUGAUUAAUAGAUGUGGCUUCCAUUUAUAGACUUUUUAGAGAAUCUGAACAUACAGGCCAUCAAACCAACAAAAUGGGCCACUUGGUGUAUUACUGUCAUCUCAUACGCAUUACAUUAAUAGCUGUAUGUUACAUGCUAUCUAUAACCAACUUGAACCCCAGCAGAUUGAAACACCUGGUAUAGUUGCAGUUUUCUUUACUUGGAUUUUUUAUGUGUAUUUGUUCUGUUUAUAUUAAAAAGUAAUUUACAAGGAGGUAACACUGGAACAGGAUCUUGCUCACUGGAUACAAAGUCAGGCCCUAGAAAAAGUAGCUGGGGGUACUAGGAUUAAAAGAUGAAAACCAUCAGCAUAAUUAGAUCAAGAAAAAAGAAAGCACAAAGGUUUAAAUAUGUCAGCAUGGUAUAUUUAUAUAUAUAUAUAAAAAAUCACAUGACUCCUUGAUGUGAAAUUCACACUGAUGGGGAAAAAAAUUAGAUUAGGUGCAGUACUAUAUUUCAGACACCUGGGAUACCGUUGCUGGUGAAUCCAUUGUUGAAUUGGAUUGGGCUUUCUGUUAAAAUUUGACAUCACUAAAUAAUGACCUGGAACUUUUCACGAACAAGACCCAUUACCUUUAGCAUAGUGUGUACUCAUGCUUGGUAACCAUCUUACAGGAUGGAUGGAUCAAUGAGAAGAAAAACAUGCAACAAUAAUUUGGGGAACUUUGGGAAGCUUCUUGUGGUAGAAAAAAGGAGAAGAGGCGGUUAUGAAGAGAUGCUAAAAAGCUGCAUGAAGCUUUAACUACUUCAAAACCAAGCAUCCCAGGCAGUGCUAGAGGUCAGGGUAGGGAGAUGAGUGACAUUUAAGCAACACAAGGCAGAAUUUCUUUACUGAGAUGGUAGUUAGAACAUGGAGCCAAAUAACUCAAUCAGCAGCAGAAAUCAAAUCAUCUUGAGGAGGAAGAUGGUUGGAUACCCUGUGAAAAGGAGUAAGAUGUAGAGUGCAUUUAGCAAUAAGUUAGACAUGAUGAGGUGAAGGGUGUGUUGAGGUAACUAGGGUUACAAUGACGAGAUUUGUUCAAUCACUCUUCUCCUCUUGGCCUUCGAUGUUCACUGUUCCUGUCUAAUUGUUGUAUCCUAAUUUCCAAUGCAAUUUAUUUUGGCAAUCAAAAAUUACAACACAUUGGAACAGCAGAGUUGCUACUGAACCAGAGAAGUUGGUGUUGCAUUUGAAUCUGGGUUACUUUAGCUGUCAUUUUGCCACUAACCUGCAGAGGGAAUGCCCAGUUCCUAGGUUACACAAGUCAAUGUUUCUGGCAUUGCCGCCCACCCAGAAGUCAUACUUUUGGAAAUGUGGAUUCACUGGUACAGAAAAAUAACAUCAGAAGUAGUGGAUUCCAGCAGUACAAAUGAGAAUUGGAGGAUCAUUGGACCAGCAUAUACAGACCACAAGUGACUUUUUUCUCUGUUGCCAAUAGUUAAUAUCUAUUUGUUAAGGACUAACAGCAUGGUCAGCCCUGUACAUGACAUAAAGAUCAGGCAGUCUCUGCCUCACCAUUUACAAGCAAAACCAAUGGGUCUUAGAUUAUGGUUGGUGAACCACCAGUGUCUACAGAAUAUUUACUGGACUCCAACAGAGGGCUAACUGGUCACAUGGUACUGGCUCUCAUUUUUUCCAAGGUGCUAAAUCACAUUAAAAAGAAGCUAAAAACAAAAUACUUUCCCACCUAUUCCUUUUCCACAUAAACAAAGGCUGUAUUUAAUACAGUGAUAUUAUUUCAUAUGAAUGGAAAGGAGGUAGUGUGUGUGAGACUGGAAAUGGGAGUAGAAGUGUCCACAAGAUUCUCUCUGCAUUAAGAUGUAGCCUGGUCCGCUCUACAAAAAACUUUAAGAGCUCCUAGACUAACAGGCAAGACAGACAAGACAAGAAAUACUGGGAGAGACACAGGAAGGAGCAGCCACACUUAACAGUCUGAAGAGCAUGUUUCUUUAUGAAAUUCUUCAGAAACACCACUGCAUUGUGGUUGUUUUGUGUACCAUGAUCACAGCACCAAUGACUGCCAGUGAAGAGCCAAAGGGAUAACAAUAGAGUCAAUAUUUUUCUUCAAAUUCCCCUGUGCUAAUGUUGACCAGUAGUUAUAACAAAGGACUGGCACUCAAGACUCCUAGGUCCUGGUCAAGUCACCUGUCCUCACUGUGUCUAAAUUUACAUACAGUUAGAGGAAUGUACUUAUAGUUGUCUACCUCAUUGGAUGACCAUAGGUAGAGGGGAAAGGGGCUUUGUCAUGAGGUUGACUGAGUAUUGGUAAAUGCUUGGAGAUUCUUGUGGAUGGGUGAUAUUAGAAGUGCAGACUAUCACCAUUGUGCUAUAAACUUCGGCUGCAGAGCCAGCUGAGGAACCUCAAGAGCUUUAUACAAUUUUUGGUAAGUUCCAGAUAAUUAUAGAUAGUUUUUGUGUUUCCUUUGCAAGAAUUGCAACUAUUAUAGGAAUAUAUGAACAGAAAUUUAAAAACUGAAUUAUAUUUAAUUUCAUAUUGAAUUAUUUCACAAGUAGUUCAACAUUUGUAUUUAGAAACUGUCUGGAAUU